GACGGGGGGAGCUAGCGUUAUUCGGUUUAACUGGGCGUAAAGCGUGUGUCUACGGUUUAUCCUGUUAAAAGUUAAAUAUCGGAGCACAACUUUCUAAAAACUUUUAAAACAGAUAUAAACUUAGAGUAUGAUUAGGGAUGGUAGAAUUUUUAAAGUAGCGGUGAAAUGCUUAAAUAUUAAAAGGAAUGCCACUAGGCGAAGGCAGCUAUCUGAAUCAAUACUGACGUUCCUGCACGAAAGUAUGGGGAGCAAACAGG
RNAcentral lists this ribosomal RNA (257 nucleotides) under uncultured bacterium. RNAcentral describes it as "partial 16S ribosomal RNA". It matches the Rfam family "Bacterial small subunit ribosomal RNA", at positions 524 to 776 of the family's 1533-position model. The record is from RNAcentral.